UGCAGUCGAGCGCGAAAGCUCCUUCGGGAGUGAGUAGAGCGGCGAACGGGUGAGGAACACGUGAGAAUCUGCCUUUUAGUGAAGAAUACCCUCGAGAAAUCGAGGCUAAUGCUGCAUAAGUCCCUUCGGGGAGAAAGAUGGCUUUAUUGCUGUCGCUGAAAGAUGAGCUUGCGGACUAUUAGCUUGUUGGUGGGGUAAAGGCCUACCAAGGCAAUGAUGGUUAACCGGCCUGAGAGGGUGAACGGUCACAUUGGAACUGAGACACGGUCCAGACUCCUACGGGAGGCAGCAGUGAGGAAUAUUGCGCAAUGGGCGAAAGCCUGACGCAGCGACGCCGCGUGGAGGAUGAAGGCUUUAGGGUCGUAAACUCCUGUUAAGUGAGAAGAAAGAACCAUUCCUAAUAAGGAUGGGAGAUGACGUUAUCACUAAAGAAAGCACCGGCUAACUUCGUGCCAGCAGCCGCGGUAAUACGAGGGGUGCAAGCGUUAUUCGGAAUAACUGGGCGUAAAGGGUGCGUAUACGGUUUAUUAAGUUCAUUGUUAAAUACCUCGGCCUAACCGAGGAAUCGCGGUGAAAACUGAUAGACUUGAGGUUGGAAGAGAGAAGUGGAAUUCUCGGAGUAGCGGUAAAAUGCGUAGAUCUCGAGAGGAACACCGAUGGCGAAAGCAGCUUCUUGGUCCAUACCUGACGUUGAGGCAC
This 699-nucleotide ribosomal RNA is filed under the name uncultured bacterium. RNAcentral describes it as "bacterial SSU rRNA". It matches the Rfam family "Bacterial small subunit ribosomal RNA", at positions 56 to 754 of the family's 1533-position model. The record is from RNAcentral.